UAGACCAUGUCAACCACAACCACCAUGUAUUUAUUAUCCUAGACAUCCAACUACAACUAGCAUAAAGAAUAGAUUAGCAUAUAUUUCCAAAAGAAUUAGCAAGACUUUGAAGAAGUAGAAGUUUUAUCCUGGUUAUCUUGAACACCCUUCAUUUAUUAAUAAAUAUAAUAACACAGAAGUGCAGCAUAACGUAUUAGCAGCAAAAAGAGUAACAUAUCAUACUUUAAAGACCUUGCGAGAAGAAAGAGAGUUUUUAAGAAACUAGUUAAUCAUAACUUUAGAGAAAGGUAGACUGUAGUUUAUGAUAGAUUAUCUUAAUUUAGAAAUUAGUGAACCUCAAAAAAGAAAAAUCACUCCAGACCAAAAUAGUUUAGUUUGUUAUUUUCCUUUGAGAAAGCAUAAUCAUAUUUGUUAUAGUGAAGAAGAUCCAUAAUCCAUAUGUAUAUAGUAUGAUCUAGUAUAUUAUAGAUCUUUUUGUUAGUCAAGCAGAAAAUAAUAAAACUAGAAAAUAAUAAAGCAUAAUUAUUUGUUAAAACAAGUUGUUAGAGCAUUUUUAGAAAAAAUUCCAUAAAAAUAAUUAGACAAAAUUUAGAUUUUAUUACAUCUAAGUUAGAAGAUAAUAAUCAAAAUAUCCAAAGGUUUCCUUGCAAGAGAGAGAUAAAAGAGCUUAUUGACCUCAUAGAUAGUAAGUCUAAGCAAGUAGAACUUAGAUCACUAGAAAUAGUUAAGCAAUUAAAAUUAGAAGUUCAAAAAAAUUCAAUUAGUGCAAAAAGAGUUGAGUGAACAAGUAGAUAAGUUACAUGAUAAAAUAGAUAAAUUAUUCAAUUAGUGCAAAAAGAGUUGAGUGAACAAGCAUUUUAAUAGUAUAAUUAUAAUAGUAAAUUAUGUACCUUGGGAUAGGAAGUCAUUAACACAACUGAUAUCACACACUUGUUUAACUUUAUAUGAACAAUAGAUAUUAUUGUCUUUGUAGACCAUGUCAACCACAACCACCAUGUAUAUAUUAUCCUAGACAUCCAACUACAACUAACAUAAAGAGAAUAUUAGCAUAUAUUUGUAAAAUAAUUAGCAAGACUUUGAAAAAGUAGAAGUAUUAUCUUGGUUAUCUUGAACACCCUUCAUUUAUUAAUAAAUAUAAUAACACAGAAAUGCAGCAUAACGUAUUAGCAGCAAAAAAGAGUAACAUAUCAUACUUUAGAGACCUUGCGAGAAGAAAGAGAGUUUUUAAGAAACUAAUUAAUCAUAACUUUAGAGAUAGGUAGACUGUAGUUUAUGAUAGAUUAUCUUAAUUUAGAAAUUAGUAAACCUCAAAAAAGAAAAAUCACCCUAGACCAAAAUAGUUUAGUUUGUUAUUUUCCUUUGAGAAAGCAUAAUCAUAUUUUGCAUAGUGAAGAAGAUCUAUAAGCCAAUAGUAUUAUAGAUCUUAUUAUUAGUGAAGCAGAAAAUAUAGAACUAGAAAAUAAUAAGCAUAAUUAUUUGUUAAACUAGUUGUUAAAGCUUUUUUUAGAAAAAUUCCAUAAAAACGAUUAGACAAAAUUUAGAUUAUAUUACAUUGAAGUUAGAAGAUAAUAAUAAAAAUAUCCAAAGGUUUCCUUGCAAAAGAGAGAUAAAAGAUCUUAUUGAUAUAAUAGAUAGUAAGUCUAAGCAAGUAGAACUUAGAUCACUAUAAAUAGUUGAGCAAUUAAAAUUAGAAUAUCAAAUAAUUGAAUUAGUGCAAAAAUAGUUGAGUGAACAAGUAGAUAAGUUACAUGAUAAAAUAGACAAAUUAUUCAAUUAGUGCAAAAAGAGUUGAGUGAACAAGCAUUUUAAUAGUAUAAUUAUAAUAGUAAAUUAUGUACAUUCAGGUAAGAAGUCAUUAACACAACUGAUAUCACACACUUGUUUAAUUUUAUAUGAACAAUAUAUAUUAUUGUCUUUGUAGACGAUGUCAACCACAACCACCAUGUAUUUAUUAUCCUAGACAUCCAACUACAACUAGCAUAAAGAGAAUAUUAGCAUAUAUUUCAAAAAGAAUUAGCAAGACUUUGAAGAAGUAAAAGUUUUAUCCUGGUUAUCUUGAACACCCUUCAUUUAUUAAUAAAUAUAAUAACACAGAAGUGCAGCACAACGUAUUAGCAGCAAAAAAGAGUAACAUAUCAUACUUUAUAGACCUUGCGAGAAAAAAGAGAGUUUUUAAGAAACUAAUUAAUCAUAACUUUAGAGACAGGUAGAAUGUAGUUUAUGAUAGAUUAUCUUAAUUUAGAAAUUAGUGAACCUCAAAAAAGAAAAAUCACUCUAGACCAAAAUAGUUUAGUUUGUUAUUUUCCUUUGAGAAAACAUAAUCAUAUUUUGUAUAGUGAAGAAGAUCCACAAGCCAAUAGUAUUAUAUAUCUUAUUAUUAGUCAAGCAGAAAAUAUAAAACUAGAAAAUAAUAAGCAUAUUAUUUAUUAAAUUAGUUGUUAGAGCAUUUCAGAAAAAUUCCAUAAAAACAAUUAGACAAAAUUUAGAUUAUAUUACAUCUUAGUUAGAAGAUAAUAAUAAAAAUAUCCAAAAGUUUCCUUGCAAAAGAGAGAUAAAAGAGCUUAUUGACAUCAUAGAUAGUAAGUCUAAGCAAGUAGAACUUAGAUCACUAGAAAUAGUUGAGCAAUUAAAAUUAGAAGUUCAAAAAAUGCAAUUAGUGCAAAAAGAGUUGAGUGAAUAAGUAUAUAAAUUACAUGAUAAAAUAGAUAAAUUAUUCAAUUAGUGCAAAAAGAGUAGAGUGAACAGGCUUUUUAAUAGUAUAAUUAUAAUAGUAAAUUAAGUACCUUGAGGUAGGAAGUCAUUAACACAACUGAUAUCACACACUUGUUUAAUUUUAUAUGAACAAUAGAUAUUAUUGUCUUUGUAGACCAUGUCAACCACAACCACCAUGUAUUUAUUAUCCUAGACAUCCAACUACAACUAGCAUAAAGAGAAUAUUAGCAUAUAUUUCCAAAAGAAUUAACAAGACUUUGAAGAAGUAGAAGUUUUAUCGUGGUUAUCUUGAACAUUCUUCAUUUAUUAAUAAAUAUAAUAACACAGAAAUGCAGCAUAACAUAUUAGCAUAAAAAAGGAGUAACAUAUCAUACUUUAGAUACUUUGCGAGAAGAAAGAGAGUUUUUAAGAAACUAAUUAAUCAAAACUUUAGAGACAUGUAGACUGUAGUUUAUGAUAGAUUAUCUUAAUUUAGAAAUUAGUGAACCUCAAAAAAGAAAAAUCACUCUAGACCAAAAUAGUUUAGUUUGUUAUUUUCCUUUGAGAAAGCAUAAUCAUAUUUUGUAUAGUGAAAAAGAUCCACAAGCCAAUAGUAUUAUAGAUCUUAUUAUUAGUCAAGCAGAAAAUAUAAAACUAGAAAAUAAUAUGCAUAAUUAUUUGUUAAAUUAGUUGUUAGAGCAUUUCAGAAAAAUUCCAUAAAAACAAUUAGACAAAAUUUAGAUUAUAUUACAUCUUAGUUAGAAGAUAAUAAUAAAAAUAUGCAAUGGUUUCCUUGCAAAAGAGAGAUAAAAGAGCUUAUUGACCUCAUAGAUAGUAAGUCUAAGCAAGUAGAACUUAGAUCACUAGAAAUAGUUGAGCAAUUAAAAUUAGAAGUUCAAAAAAUUCAAUUAGUGCAAAAAGAGUUGAGUGAAUAAGUAUAUAAGUUACAUGAUAAAAUAGAUAAAUUAUUCAAUUAGUACAAAAAGAGUAGAGUGAACAAGCAUUUUAAUAGUAUAAUUAUAAUAGUAAAUUAAGUACCUUGAGGUAAGAAGUCAUUAACACAACUGAUAUCACACACUUGUUUAAUUUUAUAUGAACAAUAGAUAUUUUUGUCUUUGUAGACCAUGUCAACCACAACCACCAUGUAUUUAUUAUCCUCGACAUCCAACUACAACUAGCAUAAAGAGAAUAUUAGCAUAUAUUUCCAAAAGAAUUAGCAAGAUUUUGAAUAAGUAGAAGUUUUAUCGUGGUUAUCUUGAACACCCUUCAUUUAUUAAUAAAUAUAAUAAUAUAGAAACGCAGCAUAACGUACUAGCAGCAAAACAGAGUAAUAUAUCGUACUUUAGAGACCUUGCGAGAAGAAAGAGAGUUUUUAAGAAACUAAUUAAUCAUAACUUUAGAGACAGGUAGACUGUAGUUUAUGAUAAAUUAUCUUAAUUUAGAAAUUAGUGAACCUCAAAAAAGAAA
Molecule: long non-coding RNA, 4158 nt
Filed under: Malus domestica (apple)
Lineage: Eukaryota; Viridiplantae; Streptophyta; Magnoliopsida; Rosales; Rosaceae
Description: long non-coding RNA (MDOM_LNC002555)
Source: RNAcentral